Molecule: unclassified non-coding RNA, 1943 nt
Filed under: Hevea brasiliensis (rubber tree)
Lineage: Eukaryota; Viridiplantae; Streptophyta; Magnoliopsida; Malpighiales; Euphorbiaceae
Source: RNAcentral
GUACGCCAUUCUAUAUUUUUUUCUUUCAAUUCGUUUUUGAAAACUAGGGUUUUCUUUGAUAUUUUUACCCUUUCCACAAUAAUUUCGCUCUCUUAAUCAAUGACUUUGGGGUUCAAGUUGGAUUUUUUGAUCAAAUUCUGCUAAACGAACCCUAGUAUUUGUCACGGAGAAACCCUCAACUCUUCUUGACGGAGAAACCUGCUUAUUUUACGCUUUUUUUCUUUUCUUCUUUGUUCUACCGAAGAAUAAUCUUGCUUCAGACCUGUUCUAGAAUAGACUGUUUCUUGAGUUGGUUUGAGUUUUUUUGCAUGUGAGGGAGAUUCUCUAGUCUAUGACUGUGUGGUGUUUGUUUUUCUAGUUUUUGUCUGAUGGACCUCAGAUCUGGCCUGGUUCCUUAAAGGGCUUAUGUUCUCUGACAUUACCCUCUUCGUUGAGUUUCAAGAUGGCACGUACUAAGCAAACUGCUCGUAAGUCCACUGGAGGCAAGGCUCCAAGGAAACAGCUUGCCACCAAGGCAGCCCGCAAGUCAGCCCCGACCACGGGAGGUGUGAAAAAGCCCCACAGAUACAGGCCUGGAACUGUUGCUCUUCGUGAAAUCCGUAAGUACCAAAAGAGUACUGAACUCCUCAUCAGGAAACUCCCAUUCCAGAGGCUUGUCCGUGAAAUUGCACAGGACUUCAAGACUGAUUUGCGGUUCCAGAGCCAUGCUGUUUUGGCUUUGCAAGAGGCAGCAGAAGCAUACCUUGUUGGUUUGUUUGAGGAUACCAAUCUGUGUGCCAUCCAUGCCAAACGUGUUACCAUAAUGCCCAAGGACAUUCAGCUAGCCAGGAGAAUCCGUGGUGAGAGAGCUUAAAAGCUCAAAUUUCCUGAAGGCCAGCUGUGAUUCUUCAUGAUUGGAUAGUGGAUGUGUUUGUAAUAGGAUUCUACUUUCUGUUUGUCCGUUCUUAUUUUGUAUGUCUGGUGGUUAGACUUAGGCUUGUCGUAGGGCACUUGAGUUGUGAAUGACUGGUUUGGUACAGUGGAAUAUUGGUAUUAAACUCUAAACAAUCUAAAUAUUGUUGCUAUGAUUGUUAUGGUGGUGUGUUGGCUAUGAAUUUGCUUGGUCUUAUGGUUGUUUGAGCAUGCAGCUUGCUUUCGGAGUGUGGACAUAACGGCUUGUUAAAGGAACUGUCUAUUAAUAUAGAUGGAAAUGGUGUAUCACUGGUUCCAGACUUGCUGCUAACUUGAACGCACGCUAGGAAGCUCGUUGAUAUGACUUUACUUUUGAAGAUCCUAGGCCUCUGAACGGUUUAGAUUUCUCGGUAAUUUGUAAUCUGUCGCAGGCCUCUGAUCGGUUUAGAUUUCUCGGUAAUUUGUAAUCUGUCGCAGGCCUCUGAUCGGUUUAGAUUUCUCGGUAAUUUGUAAUCUGUCGCUGCUAACGUAGCCUAGCAGUGGUACCACUUAGGAAGAAGAUACGAGGUAAAGAGAACUUUGGAGCACUAUGGCUUCUGUCUCAAAUAAAUUGGGUUUGCUCGAGGUUUAUGUGCCUAGUUCAAAGAAAGGGUAUCUUCAUCAACGGUCAUUACAAUUUUUCUUUUUGCAUUGGUAUGCCCAGCUCUUUCAUUUUUUCGUUUAUUGAAAAAAGCCCCCCAAAAGCUUAGGGAGUGUUAAAACCCCUGAUUUGCUAAAAUAGGAAUAACUAGCAACUAAAAACGCCUAAUUACAACAGUGAAGCCCACAAACAAAUCCAACAACAAUUAAAAGAAAAAGAGAACAGUUGCCCUAGACUAAUUGGAUAGGGCACUAGAAGAAAAAAGGAACAUCCGUAUCUUUUUACGUAGCAGUGUUGCUUCUCCUUGGUCGGCUAUGUGCAAGGGAGUUAGAAAGUUUAAGUAGUAAUAUAUAAAUUUCAGAGACUAAAAGGGAUAUUUUGUAAUUAAUUUCUAUUUAUGUAAUUUUGGGGU